Molecule: transfer RNA, 131 nt
Rfam family: tRNA
About the family: Transfer RNA (tRNA) molecules are approximately 80 nucleotides in length. Their secondary structure includes four short double-helical elements and three loops (D, anti-codon, and T loops). Further hydrogen bonds mediate the characteristic L-shaped molecular structure. tRNAs have two regions of fundamental functional importance: the anti-codon, which is responsible for specific mRNA codon recognition, and the 3' end, to which the tRNAs corresponding amino acid is attached (by aminoacyl-tRNA synthetases). tRNAs cope with the degeneracy of the genetic code in two manners: having more than one tRNA (with a specific anti-codon) for a particular amino acid; and 'wobble' base-pairing, i.e. permitting non-standard base-pairing at the 3rd anti-codon position.
GGGAGUGUGGCCGAGUGGUUAAGGCGCCCGCUUCAGGUACGGUUAUUCACUGGUCCUCACGGAUCGGUGGUGCCAAAGCCGGAAUUGCAGGUCUCUAUUAAGAGGCGCGAGUUCGAACCUCGUCACUUCCA